GCGGCCGAGCGCGGCGACGGAGGCGUGCGCGCCGUGCGGCUGGAAGGCGGCGUCGGAGAGGUCGGUGCAGACGCCGCAGAGGAACCUGUAUAUGCUGUUCCCCAUGGCCCCUAGGAGGAGGAGCAGGAGGAGGAGGACGAGGCGGCGGGUGGUGGUCGUGGGCGGCGGCGGGUGAAUCCGCCCCGGGAUCUGUAAAGAAUGGAGGUGGUGGUCGUGCGUGGAUCUGCGGGGCGGAUGACAGUGUGCGCGUCCUCUCACCAGAGCCGUUUCGGAAGGGAUCCCGGCUCGCCUCACGAGGAAGGGAAGGCUGGAGGAGCGGGGACGGGGGAAGGGGAAGCUGUUGAGCUCUGCU
This 352-nucleotide long non-coding RNA is filed under the name Hordeum vulgare. RNAcentral describes it as "long non-coding RNA (HVUL_LNC006476)". The record is from RNAcentral. Lineage: Eukaryota; Viridiplantae; Streptophyta; Magnoliopsida; Poales; Poaceae.